RNAcentral lists this ribosomal RNA (189 nucleotides) under uncultured bacterium. Its description in RNAcentral is "partial 16S ribosomal RNA". It matches the Rfam family "Bacterial small subunit ribosomal RNA", at positions 326 to 541 of the family's 1533-position model. The record is from RNAcentral.
ACGCUCGACACCUACGGGCAGCAGUGGGGAAUAUUGCACAAUGGGGGAAACCCUGAUGCAGCGACGCCGCGUGGAGGAAGAAGGUCUUCGGAUUGUAAACUCCUGUUGUUGGGGAAAAAGGGGAUGGUACCCAACAAGGAAGUGACGGCUAACUACGUGCCGNAGCGCGUAUNUGAGCGGCGUGNGAGC